This 1342-nucleotide ribosomal RNA is filed under the name uncultured Bacillota bacterium. RNAcentral's name for it is "bacterial SSU rRNA". It matches the Rfam family "Bacterial small subunit ribosomal RNA", at positions 43 to 1381 of the family's 1533-position model. Lineage: Bacteria; Bacillati; Bacillota. The record is from RNAcentral.
UGUGCCUUACACAUGCAAGUCGGACGGAGGACUUCGGUCCUUAGUGGCAAACGGGUGAGUAAUGGAUAGGUUAUCUACCGGGAAGAGGGGGAUACCCCUUCGAAAGAAGGAUCAAUACCCCGUACGCUCCUUACGGAGGAAAGGUGGUGCAAGCCACCGCUUCCUGAUGAGCCUAUCUCCUAUCAGCUAGUUGGUAAGGUAAUGGCUUACCAAGGCUAUGACGGGUAGCUGGUCUGAGAGGAUGAUCAGCCACACUGGAACUGAGACACGGUCCAGACUCCUACGGGAGGCAGCAGUGGGGAAUUUUGGGCAAUGAGCGAAAGCUUGACCCAGCGACACUGCGUGGGCGAAGAAGAUCUUUGGAUUGUAAAGCCCUUUUGUUGGGGAGUAAGCGAAUGCGCAGGAAAUGGCGUGUUCGUUGCAAGUACCCGACGAAUAAGCCCCAGCCAACUACGUGCCAGCAGCUGCGGUAAUACGUAGGGGGCAAGCGUUGUCCGGAAUUACUGGGUGUAAAGGGUGUGCAGGCGUCUUGCUAAGUUGGGUGUGAAAUCCCGGAGCUCAACUCCGGAGCGGCAUCCAAUACUGACAAGAUCGAGGUUAUGAGAGGGAAGCGGAACUCCCGGUGUAGCGGUGAAAUGCGUAGAGAUCGGGAAGAACACCAGAGGCGAAGGCGGCUUCCUAACAUAAUACUGACGCUCAGACACGAAAAGCUAGGGGAGCAAACAGGAUUAGAUACCCUGGUAGUCCUAGCCCUAAACGAUGAAUACUAGGUGUUGGAGGAUUCACUCCUUCAGCGUCGUAGCUAACGCGUUAAGUAUUCCACCUGGAAAGUACGGUCGCAAGGCUGAAACUCAAAGGAAUUGACGGGUACCCGCACAAGCAGCGAGGCAUGUGGUUUAAUUCGAGGCUACACGAAGAACCUUACCUGGGCUUGACAUGUUGCUGAAAGAUCUAAGAAACUAGAUCCUUUUUCAUAGCAAUAUGAAAACAGUUUCACAGGUGGUGCAUGGUUGUCGUCAGCUCGUGCCGUGAGGUGUAAGGUUAAGUCCUUGAACGAGCGCAACCCACGUCGUUAUUUGCCACGGAGCAAUCCAGCUACUAUAACGAUACCGCCGGCGACGAGCCGGAGGAAGGCGUGGACGACGUCAAAUCAUCACGCCCCUUAUGUCCAGGGCUACACACAUGCGACAAUGGUCGGAACAAUGAGUUGCCAAGCAGUAAUGCGGAGCUAAUCUCCAAAGCCGGCCUCAGUACAGAUCGAGGGUUGCAACCCACCCUCGUGAAGAUGGAGUUGCUAGUAAACGCAAGUCAGCUAUAUUGCGUUGAAUACGUUCCCGGGUAU